AAGACUAUAGACCUGCGGAGUACCUGCGGAGGGAUCAUUAUUGGAUCUUGGUUUUUUUACAAGAGGUUGAGAGCUUUACUGUUCUUGCUUCUUCAAACAAACGAUCACAACAACUAGUAUAGCAGUUGAUUUGGUCUCUGUCUGGUGCGGUUUGUGUGUGUGUGUGUUGGCUGCUGCCAAAUACUCUGCAACAACCGUGCAUAGCGGAGAAGAUACUAAAAGUAUUUGCCUGAUAAGAUA
This 240-nucleotide unclassified non-coding RNA is filed under the name soil metagenome. RNAcentral's name for it is "partial contains 5.8S ribosomal RNA, internal transcribed spacer 2, and large subunit ribosomal RNA". The record is from RNAcentral.